CCUUCUCGAAACGAAGCUCUCUCGAUUCACAACGCUUGCUUUUCUCUCUCGCUCUUUCCGACCCCCAUCAUUUCCUUGCUUCUGGUCUUCUGAGACUCAGAAACCGUAAAUCCCACUCCCCGCUCAAUCGACCAUUUUUGGGUCUCAUUUUUUUCCUUCUUUUGCUUAUUGGAUCGUUUCUAGGACCUCGCCGUGCAGGAAUCGCGGGUUCGGGCGGCGCCUCCUUCCCCCAAUUACCUCUUGAUUGACCAAGAUGGCAGCAGCAAGAACUCCUGGUACCCCAGCUUCAAAGAUCGAAAGAACACCAGUAUCUACACCUGGAGGCUCCAGAGUCAAAGAUGAGAAAAUUUUUGUCACAGUAAGGAUGAGGCCACUGAGCAAGAAAGAACAAGCACUGAAAGAUGAAAUAGUGUGGGAAUGUAUUGAUGACCACACUAUCAUGUUCAAGGGCUCAACUCAGGAGCGUUCGAAUUUAUCAGGCUCCUAUACGUUUGACAAAGUAUUUGGACCUAAUUGUUUAACGGAGAUUGUCUAUGAAGAAGGAGCUAAAAAUGUGGCAUUAUCAGCAUUGACAGGAAUAAAUGCUACCAUCUUCGCUUAUGGGCAGACCAGCAGUGGCAAAACAUAUACUAUGCGGGGGAUCACUGAGAGAGCUGUAAAUGAUAUUUACAAGCACAUAGAAAAUACGCCAGAUAGGGACUUUGUGAUAAAGAUUUCUGGUAUGGAAAUAUACAACGAGGUAGUGAGGGACCUGUUAAAAACAGAUUCUGGUCCUCUUCGGUUACUUGAUGACCCUGAGAAAGGAACUAUUGUUGAGAAACUGGAAGAAGAAACAGUAAAAGAUAGCCAGCAUCUGAGACAUCUGAUCAGCAUUUGUGAUGCACAAAGGCAAGUUGGUGAAACUGCCUUGAAUGACACCAGCUCCAGAUCUCACCAAAUAAUAAGGCUGACGAUAGAGAGUAGCCUACGUGAACAUUCAGGCUGUGUGAAGUCUUUUUUAGCAAGCCUGAACCUUGUGGACCUUGCAGGAAGUGAGAGGGUUUCACAAACAAAUGCAAAUGGUGUCAGACUGAUAGAAGGUUCCCAUAUAAAUCGGAGCUUGUUGACUCUCACAACAGUAAUUAGAAAACUCAGUGUUGGGAAAAGAAGCGGCCAUAUACCCUACAGGGAUUCAAAGCUAACACGUAUACUCCAGCUUUCUCUGGGCGGAAAUGCAAGAACUGCUAUUAUAUGCACCAUGAGUCCAGCACACAGCCAUGUAGAGCAAUCUCGGAAUACCCUACAUUUUGCAACUUGUGCCAAGGAAGUUACAAAUACUGCUCGUGUUAACAUGGUUGUGUCAGACAAACAGAUGGUCAAACAUCUGCAGGAUGUAGUUGCCAGACUUGAAGCUGAGAGACGCACCCCUGAACCUUCUUCUUGUUCUGAAUCCCUUCUGAAGGAGAAGGAGUUGAAAAUUAAGGAGAUGGAAAUGGAAAUGGAAGAACUGAAACGGCAAAGAGAUUUUGCGCAGUCACAACUGGAUGAACUGCGAAGUAAAAGUUCAAGUCCAUUUGAGCCAUCACCUCGCCAAGUGGCUAAAUGUCUCACCUUUUCUGGCCCAUCACUACAUUAUGGUGACAAGGGACAUGGUAAGGCUGAGAAGAUGAGAAACCCAAUGAGGCAGUCAUCAACUGUUCCAUCCAUGCUUGUGCAUGAAAUUCGCAAGCUCGAACAAUUACAGGAGCAGCUUGGAGAGGAAGCACACCGAGCUCUUGAAGUGCUGCAGAAAGAGGUGACUUGCCACAGACUGGGGAAUCAGGAUGCUGCUGAGACUAUUGCCAAGCUUCAAGCAGAGAUCAGGGAGAUGCGUGCAGUUAGAUCUCUGACUAAAGAGGUUAACAUUGAAGAUGUGGUCACUAGCCAAAAUGCUGGUGCCAAUCUUAAAGAAGAGAUAACGCGACUUCAUUCGCAAGGAAGUACCAUUGCCAAUCUGGAGGAGCAGCUAGAAAAUGUCCAGAAAUCUAUAGAUAGGCUAGUGAUGUCUCUUCCGAAUAAUGUGCAGUCUAAUGAAACCACUCCAAAGUCCUCAAAGAGUCAGCCAAAGAAGAAGAAGAAGAUGCUUCCUUUGGCAUUAAGCAGCAACAUCAACCGACCACAUCUUCUAAGAGCACCUUGCUCACCUCUCUCUUCUUCCCGGAAGAUAUUAGAGUCCGAAAUAGAGAACAAGGCUCCAGAGAAUGAUGCAGUAUCCCAAGAGACCUUUUCAGGUUCUGAGAAAGCUACUCCAACCAAGAGCGAAGAUGGUGGUGACAUAACAUCCAGAGAAGGAACACCACGCUACCAACGCUCCAGUUCUGUGAACAUGAAAAAAAUGCAGAAAAUGUUCCAAAAUGCUGCAGAGGAAAAUGUAAGGAGCAUAAGAGCAUAUGUCACUGAGCUGAAAGAACGUGUCGCGAAGCUUCAGUACCAAAAGCAGCUUCUUGUGUGCCAGGUAUUGGAAUUAGAAGCAAAUGAGGCUGCAGGGCAUGAUGUAUCAGAGGCUGAAGAGCAUAUAUCAGAAAUGCAAAAUUCCACUGAUGCAUGGGAUUCUGUCUUCAAGGAACAAAUGCAGCAGAUUAUUCAACUAUGGGAUGUUUGUCAUGUAUCAAUAAUACAUCGGUCACAGUUCUACUUGUUAUUCAGAGGUGAUCAGGCAGAUCAGAUAUAUAUUGAGGUAGAGCUUAGGAGAUUGACUUGGCUGCAGCAGCAUUUUGCUGAAGUUGGCAAUGCAAGCCCUGCUCAUUUCGGAGAUGAGACUGCAAUUUCUUUAUCAUCAAGGUAUAAGAAAUUUGAGUUACUUUCACAUUAUUCUAAGUCAAGGUAUGCCAUAUCCCACUGAACCAAGAAGUGUAAGACAUACUGUAUCAUAUCGGCUUGGUACUGGUACAUGAUACAAGGGGUGUAUCAACAUAUGGUGUGCCAAACUGGCCCUGUAUUGGGCAUACCGAUAUAGUGACGGGGUGGCACCGUGUUAAAGCAUUGAGGCAGGAAAGAGAAUUUCUUUCCAGAAGAGUUAACUCACGUUUGACGGAGGAGGAAAGAGAGCGGCUCUACAUCAAAUGGCAAGUUCCCCUUGAAGGGAAGCAAAGGAAGCUUCAGCUGGUGAACAAGCUUUGGACUGAUCCAAAUGAUCCAGCACACAUCGAGGAAAGUGCUGAUAUAGUGGCUAGACUUGUAGGCUUCUGUGAGGGAGGAAACAUCACCAAAGAGAUGUUUGAGCUGAAUUUUUCACUGCCCGCAAGCAAGAAACCAUGGUUCUUGGGAUGGCAGCCCAUAUCAAAUUUGUUAAGACUCUGAUGCUGUGAGUUACUAGAAAUAAAAGAACUGAAAUUUU
This is a non-coding RNA of Elaeis guineensis (African oil palm), 3355 nucleotides long. The record is from RefSeq and is a predicted model, not a curated record. Lineage: Eukaryota; Viridiplantae; Streptophyta; Magnoliopsida; Arecales; Arecaceae.